UCCGUCGCGAGGCGGAGUCGGGAGGAAGCUGGAGGCAAACGCUCGACCCAAGGUACACGAACCUAAUUGAGGCUGUAUGAGCCGGAUGAGUCUGCCAAACAAGACGAAGUUCCCAAGCCGCCAAGGGCUCAUACAGUACGGUGUCCGUGCUUCCGGCUGAAGAGGAGACGGC
Paenibacillus stellifer is the source of this 172-nucleotide non-coding RNA. NCBI's taxonomy places the organism in Bacteria, Bacillati, Bacillota, Bacilli, Caryophanales, Paenibacillaceae. The record is from Rfam.